Molecule: non-coding RNA, 79 nt
Organism: Podarcis lilfordi (Lilford's wall lizard)
Lineage: Eukaryota; Metazoa; Chordata; Lepidosauria; Squamata; Lacertidae
Source: the annotation of a GenBank genome assembly
UUUUUAAUAGCUCAGUCGGUAGAGCACGAGACUUUUAAUCUCAGGGUUGUGGGUCGAUCAAGGUUCCUGCAUUGAAGAG